UGGGGAAUAUUGGACAAUGGGGGCAACCCUGAUCCAGCCAUGCCGCGUGAGUGAUGAAGGCCUUCGGGUUGUAAAGCUCUUUUGGCGGGGACGAUGAUGACGGUACCCGCAGAAUAAGCCCCGGCUAACUUCGUGCCAGCAGCCGCGGUAAGACGAAGGGGGCAAGCGUUGUUCGGAAUUACUGGGCGUAAAGGGCUCGUAGGCGGCCAACUAAGUCGGAUGUGAAAUCCCCAGGCUCAACCUGGGAACGGCAUCCGAUACUGGAUGGCUUGAAUUCGGGAGAGGGAUGCAGAAUUCCAGGUGUAGCGGUGAAAUGCGUAGAUAUCUGGAGGAAUACCGGUGGCGAAGGCGGCAUCCUGGACCGAGAUUGACGCUGAGGAGCGAAAGCAUGGGGAGCGAA
Molecule: ribosomal RNA, 400 nt
Filed under: uncultured bacterium
Lineage: Bacteria
Description: bacterial SSU rRNA
Rfam family: Bacterial small subunit ribosomal RNA
Source: RNAcentral